Corticium candelabrum is the source of this 434-nucleotide long non-coding RNA. RefSeq lists it as uncharacterized. The transcript has 3 exons. The record is from RefSeq and is a predicted model, not a curated record. NCBI's taxonomy places the organism in Eukaryota, Metazoa, Porifera, Homoscleromorpha, Homosclerophorida, Plakinidae.
CCGUUGUGAUCAAGGUUUUGAGUUAUCUGAUGACAAAUGGAAAACAAGAAGAUGCCAAGAAAACAGAAAGUGGUCAGGAACGGCACCAACAUGUUCUCGUGUCAACUGCGGAGCACCUACUGUUUCGGGGAACGGCUACUAUACCGGACAGACCACCACCUACGAGUCUAUUAUAGGAUUCGGUUGCAACGACAGCUAUUACAUUGACGGUGCUAAGAAAGCCAAAUGUCUCCAUACAAAAGAGUGGGACAAGAAGGCACCAAAAUGCAUCCCGUUUUGUGAGCCUCCUCAACUCACGAAUGGAUACCUUGAAUUUAGCGACAAUAAUGGAGAGCAUGAUGUUAAGAGUACAGUGACGUACCAUUGUGAUCAAGGUUUUGAGUUAUCUGAUGACAAAUGGAAAACAAGAAGAUGCCAAGAAAACAGAAAGUGGU